This 285-nucleotide unclassified non-coding RNA is filed under the name plant metagenome. RNAcentral's name for it is "partial contains small subunit ribosomal RNA, internal transcribed spacer 1, and 5.8S ribosomal RNA". The stretch from base 1 to 54 matches the Rfam family "Eukaryotic small subunit ribosomal RNA", at positions 1778 to 1831 of the family's 1831-position model. The record is from RNAcentral.
GGAAGUAAAAGUCGUAACGAGGUUUCCGUAGGUGAACCUGCGGAAGGAUCAUUAUUGUAUAACCGAGGUGCGAGGGCUGUCGCUGACCCGAAAGGUCGUGCACGCCCGAGUGCCCUCACACACAUCCAUCUCACCCCUAUGUGCACCACCGCGUGGGUCCCCCUUUGGCUUGUUCGGAGGGGGGCUUACGUUUUCACACGAACUUUGUAUGCAGUGUAGAAUGUAUUUUUUGUUUUUGCGAUCACGCAAUCAAUACAACUUUCAACAACGGAUCUCUUGGCUCUC